Molecule: ribosomal RNA, 253 nt
Filed under: uncultured bacterium
Lineage: Bacteria
Description: partial 16S ribosomal RNA
Rfam family: Bacterial small subunit ribosomal RNA
Source: RNAcentral
UACGAAGGGGGCUAGCGUUGUUCGGAAUUACUGGGCGUAAAGCGUGCGUAGGUUGCUCGACAAGUCAGUGGUGAAAUCCCAGAGCUUAACUCUGGAACUGCCAUUGAAACUGUCGAGCUGGAAUCUCAGAGGGGAUAGCGGAAUUCCAAAUGUAGGGGUGAAAUCCGUAGAUAUUUGGAGGAACACCGGUGGCGAAGGCGGCUAUCUGGAUGAGUAUUGACACUGAGGCUCGAAAGCGUGGGGAUCAAACAGG